AAGUCGUAACAAGGUUUCCGUAGGUGAACCUGCGGAAGGAUCAUCAAAAAAUUUUUUUGAUUUAUUUGACGGCACGCAAUGUGUGUAUAUGCAUAUAUGCGGAUGAUAUUUUUUGUGUAUGUAUAUUUGUAUAUGUAUAUUUGUAUAUGUACAAGUAUAUGUAUAUGAAUAUAUGUAUAUGUAUAUAUAUAUAUAUUACUUUAUAUAUACGUCAAAAAAAUAUCAUCAUAUACAUACAUAUAAUUUGACAUAUUUCCCUCAAAAAACGAGGGAAAAAAAAAAACCUUUAUUUAUAUAUUCUUAGUCUGAUGUUAUCAAAAAGUAGAGAGAAUCACAACUUUUAGCAAUGGAUCUCUCGGCUCUU
Molecule: unclassified non-coding RNA, 364 nt
Filed under: fungal sp.
Lineage: Eukaryota; Fungi
Description: partial internal transcribed spacer region
Rfam family: Eukaryotic small subunit ribosomal RNA (bases 1-46)
Source: RNAcentral